Molecule: ribosomal RNA, 450 nt
Filed under: uncultured bacterium
Lineage: Bacteria
Description: partial 16S ribosomal RNA
Rfam family: Bacterial small subunit ribosomal RNA
Source: RNAcentral
CCUACGGGGGGCAGCAGUCGAGAAUCUUUCACAAUGGGGGCAACCCUGAUGGAGCGACGCCGCGUGGAGGAUAAGGUCUUCGGAUUGUAAACUCCUGUCAUGCGAGAACAAGGUUGCAGGGCUAACACCUUUGCAAAUUGAUGGUACCGCAAGAGGAAGAGACGGCUAACUCUGUGCCAGCAGCCGCGGUAAUACAGAGGUCGCAAGCGGGGGUCGGAAUCACUGGGCGGGGGGGUGGCGUAGCAGAUGUGAAAGCCCGGGGCUCAACCUCGGAAUUGCAUCCGAUACUGCCAUGCUGGAGUACUGAAGAGGUGACUAGAAUUCUAGGUGUAGCAGUGAAAUGCGUAGAUAUCUAGAGGAAUACCAACGGCGAAGGCAGGUCACUGGGCAGUUACUGACACUGAGGCACGAAGGCCAGGGGAGCAAACGGGAUUAGAUACCCCAGUAGUC